GCCUUUUAACUUUUUUCAUUCGAGCGUCACUGAUGUUUUUUUUUUGUAGACUUAACUCGUGUCUGGCGUUUUUUUUUUUAUAUCUACAUACCUUUUUAUAUACAUUGGUUAUUUUGAAAGUGUGUACAGGUAUUCAUAAACUUCUGAAUUAAGAAAUUCUUCGGCAAAACUAAGUUUCCCUGUAGAAUGUUUGAAUUGAUUUAAGUAAAAUCAGGAAAUCCUUAAAAUUUGAGAUGUUUUAUGAAUCCAAAAUAAGUCUCUUCAUAAGAGGUCCCAAUCAAUUGCAUACCAAGACAGCUUCAAAUACGAGUUGAG
This 315-nucleotide long non-coding RNA is filed under the name Mytilus galloprovincialis (Mediterranean mussel). Lineage: Eukaryota; Metazoa; Mollusca; Bivalvia; Mytilida; Mytilidae. The record is from RNAcentral.